This 305-nucleotide ribosomal RNA is filed under the name uncultured bacterium. RNAcentral's name for it is "bacterial SSU rRNA". It matches the Rfam family "Bacterial small subunit ribosomal RNA", at positions 337 to 634 of the family's 1533-position model. The record is from RNAcentral.
UCCUACGGGACGCAGCAGUGGGGAAUUUUGGACAAUGGGCGCAAGCCUGAUCCAGCUAUUCCGCGUGUGGGAAGACGGCCUUCGGGUUGUAAACCACUUUUGUAGAGAACGAAAAGUCUAUUGAUAAUACCGAUAGAUGAUGACGGUACUCUAAGAAUAAGCACCGGCUAACUACGUGCCAGCAGCCGCGGUAAUACGUAGGGUGCGAGCGUUAAUCGGAAUUACUGGGCGUAAAGGGUGUGCAGGCGGCUUUUGCAGAUGGAUGUGAAAGCCCCUGGCUUAACCUGGGGAAGCCAUACAGGACG